NNNNNNNNNNGGAUUCCCCNAGNAACUGCGAGUGAAGCGGGAAAAGCUCAAAUUUAAAAUCUGGCAGUCUUGGGCUGUCCGAGUUGUAAUCUGGAGAAGCGUUUUCCGCGCUGGACCGUGUACAAGUCUCUUGGAAUAGAGCGUCAUAGAGGGUGAGAAUCCCGUCUUUGACACGGACUACCAGUGCUUUGUGAUACGCUCUCAAAGAGUCGAGUUGUUUGGGAAUGCAGCUCAAAAUGGGUGGUAAAUUCCAUCUAAAGCUAAAUAUUGGCGAGAGACCGAUAGCGAACAAGUACCGUGAGGGAAAGAUGAACAGCACUUUGGAAAGAGAGUUAAACAGUACGUGAAAUUGUCGAAAGGGAAGCGCUUGAAGUCAGUCGCGUUGUUCAGAACUCAACCUGGUUUUACUUGGUGCACUUUCUGAAUGACGGGCCAACAUCAGUUUUGACUGUCGGAUAAAAGCCUUGGGAAUGUGGCACCUCCGGGUGUGUUAUAGCCUUUGGUUGUAUACGAUGGUUGGGAUUGAGGAUCGCAGCACGCCUUUUGGCCGGGGUUUGCCCACGUACGUGCUUAGGAUGUUGGCGUAAUGGCUUUAAACGACCCGUCUUGAAACACGGACCAAGGAGUCUAACAUGCCUGCGAGUGUUUGGGUGGAAAACCCGAGCGCGCAAUGAAAGUGAAAGUUGGGAUCCCUGUCGUGGGGAGCACCGACGCCCAUACCAGACCUUCUGUGACGGAUAUGCGGUUGAGCAUGUAUGUUGGGACCCGAAAGAUGGUGAACUAUGCCUGAAUAGGGUGAAGCCAGAGGAAACUCUGGUGGAAGCUCGUAGCGAUUCUGACGUGCAAAUCGAUCGUCAAAUUUGGGUAUAGGGGCGAAAGACUAAUCGAACNNNNNNNNNNNNNNNNNNNNNN
This 912-nucleotide ribosomal RNA is filed under the name Scopuloides hydnoides. Its description in RNAcentral is "partial 25S ribosomal RNA". It matches the Rfam family "Eukaryotic large subunit ribosomal RNA", at positions 62 to 962 of the family's 3401-position model. The record is from RNAcentral. Lineage: Eukaryota; Fungi; Basidiomycota; Agaricomycetes; Polyporales; Meruliaceae.